UGCCAGCAGCCGCGGUAAUACGUAGGGUGCAAGCGUUGUUCGGAUUGACUGGGCGUAAAGAGCACGUAGGUUGAUGUGUAAGUCGAAUGUGAAAGCCCAGGGCUUAACCUUGGAACUGCAUUCGAAACUACACUUCUUGAAUACUUGAGAGGUUGGCGGAAUUCCAGGUGUAGGAGUGAAAUCCGUAGAUAUCUGGAGGAACAUCAGAGGCGAAGGCGGCCAACUGGCAAUGUAUUGACACUGAGGUGCGAAAGCGUGGGGAGCAAACAGGAUUAGAUA
Molecule: ribosomal RNA, 279 nt
Filed under: uncultured bacterium
Lineage: Bacteria
Description: partial 16S ribosomal RNA
Rfam family: Bacterial small subunit ribosomal RNA
Source: RNAcentral